Molecule: non-coding RNA, 27 nt
Filed under: Bombyx mori (domestic silkworm)
Lineage: Eukaryota; Metazoa; Arthropoda; Insecta; Lepidoptera; Bombycidae
Source: RNAcentral
ACAUAAGCAAUAAGCCGCAGACUUAAU